ACGCACGCUGGCGGCGUGCUUAACACAUGCCAGUCGAACGGUGAAGCGCCUUCCUUUUUGGUGGGUGUGGAUGAGUGGCGAACGGGUGAGUAACACGUGAGUAACCUGCCCCCUUCUUCUGGAUAACCGCAUGAAAGUGUGGCUAAUACGGGAUAUUCUGGGUCUGUCGCAUGAUGGGUCUGGGAAAGAUAUUGUUUCGGUGGGGGAUGGGCUCGCGGCCUAUCAGCUUGUUGGUGGGGUGAUGGCCUACCAAGGCGGUGACGGGUAGCCGGCCUGAGAGGGUGGACGGUCACACUGGGACUGAGACACGGCCCAGACUCCUACGGGAGGCAGCAGUGGGGAAUAGUGCACAAUGGGCGCAAGCCUGAUGCAGCGACGCCGCGUGAGGGAUGGAGGCCUUCGGGUUGUGAACCUCUUUCGCCAGUGAAGCAGGCCUGCCUCGUUUGUGGGUGGGUUGACGGUAGCUGGAGAAGAAGCGCCGGCUAACUACGUG
RNAcentral lists this ribosomal RNA (493 nucleotides) under uncultured bacterium. RNAcentral describes it as "partial 16S ribosomal RNA". It matches the Rfam family "Bacterial small subunit ribosomal RNA", at positions 29 to 507 of the family's 1533-position model. The record is from RNAcentral.